RNAcentral lists this long non-coding RNA (519 nucleotides) under Carassius auratus (goldfish). RNAcentral's name for it is "lncRNA (ENSCARG00000026493.1)". The record is from RNAcentral. Lineage: Eukaryota; Metazoa; Chordata; Actinopteri; Cypriniformes; Cyprinidae.
UCUCACAUCUGGUGUUUGUGAGAUCGUUGUUUCAUGUCGAUGUGUUAUCCCCCGUCUGGCUUCUGUGUAAGUUUGCGUUUGGAUGUCUGCGUUUCCCUAGAACCUCAUCCACUCUCCGCACGAUCACUCAGCCACGGACACUUACCUUCGGCUCUGUUCCACUCUCUCCUGCUGCUUCACGCCGUCAAGACCCGGACUCCUCACCUACACUCCACUACCAGCUGGAUUUCUCACCUUCCACUGUCUCCCUGGAGUGUUAUCGCCUCAUCGUCUUUAUGUGCUGUCAUUACAACAUCUGUUCCACUAGGCGGUACUGUCAGUUUCAGUUGCAAUGGAAUGGGAAGCAGUUAUGUAAACAUGUACCUCCCUAACAUCCAGACGUAUCUCACUCUCUGUGAGGUGGAAGUUUAUGGAACAGCUUAUAGGGAAAAAGUGUUUCUGAGGAUGAAACUAGCCUCCAGUGUUGACACAACUGCAGUGACCAACACUUCAGGUAAGGAAACAUAUCACAUAAUUUAA